GAAUUCCUGGUGUAGCGGUGGAAUGCGCAGAUAUCAGGAGGAACACCGAUGGCGAAGGCAGAUCUCUGGGCCGUAACUGACGCUGAGGAGCGAAAGGGUGGGGAGCAAACAGGCUUAGAUACCCUGGUAGUCCACCCCGUAAACGUUGGGAACUAGUUGUGGGGUCCAUUCCACGGAUUCCGUGACGCAGCUAACGCAUUAAGUUCCCCGCCUGGGGAGUACGGCCGCAAGGCUAAAACUCAAAGGAAUUGACGGGGACCCGCACAAGCGGCGGAGCAUGCGGAUUAAUUCGAUGCAACGCGAAGAACCUUACCAAGGCUUGACAUAUACGAGAACGGGCCAGAAAUGGUCAACUCUUUGGACACUCGUAAACAGCUGGUGCAUGGUGGUCGUCAGCUCGUGUCGUGAGAUGUUGGGUUAAGUCCCGCAACGAGCGCAACCCUCCUUCUCUGUUGCCAGCACGUAAUGGUGGGAACUCAUGGGAUACUGCCGGGGUCAACUCGGAGGAAGGUGGGGAUGACGUCAAAUCAUCAUGCCCCCUAUGUCUUGGGGUUCAC
RNAcentral lists this ribosomal RNA (557 nucleotides) under Microbacterium sp. ENE_1_14. RNAcentral describes it as "bacterial SSU rRNA". It matches the Rfam family "Bacterial small subunit ribosomal RNA", at positions 664 to 1219 of the family's 1533-position model. The record is from RNAcentral. Lineage: Bacteria; Bacillati; Actinomycetota; Actinomycetes; Micrococcales; Microbacteriaceae.